CUUAUGGGAGGUUACUUUUGGUAAAAUUCAAAAGCCAGAAAUAUUGGCUGUUUGUCCUGGCUGGAGUCUGCUAACAAGAGAUUUGGUUGAGUCAGUUUAAUUAAAAGCUGAUAUCCAAGCUAUACAUAUAUUUAAAAGGCCUUUUUGUUUUUCUUCUCUUCUUGGAUCUUAUUUUCCCGAAGAAAAAAACUUUUCUUCUUCUCAGUCAACUGAACUGUUUUUCUCCAUUUUGUCUUCCUACCACUCUUGAUGCACACAUGAGAGGAAGUAAGAUAAUUUCCAACAGCCUGGGACUCCUUUGGAAAAACAGAGACAUCACAUUCCCAUGUGUUCCUAUAAACAUGUUUUGGGAAAAACCUCUGUUUUCUUCACGAAACCCCAGGAAUUGAGAGUGGAUAGAUCACUCUCAAAAUCUAAGGCUCUGUCCUGUUUGUGUUGUGUUAUCUGAUGAUUUUGAUGUUUGGGGGUAUCAGAAAUUACUUCGCAUUAUAAGAGAGCUUUCGUAUGUAAUAACUAGGCAGGAAAUAUACUUUUAGGAAUGGCUAAUGGCAGGUAUGGGGGAAUACUUGGCUGUUUGCAUGUUUGGAUCAAAGAAGUGUGCUCUUGGCUACCAGGAAGGUACAGAAACGUCCCCACCCCUAGACUGAGAAAUAAGACUCUCCUGGGGGAUGGGCUGAUUACAGAAUGGGCUGAUUGGCUUUGGGUUGCCUUGAAAUAAAAUGCACUGUAAAAUCAUUGCAUUGUCUUAUUUUGUAGUGUUUCUUUCUUUUGGAGAUCCAGGAUCCAGUAUAGAAAUGGGACCUUUGAUUUUUGGGAUCUGUUUUACCUUCCAGCUGUGUUUGUUUAUUAAGCCCUUGAAACUGCAUGCUUUCCCAGCCCUGUUCCUCCAUGGACUUCACCCUGAAGCCAGCAAUCUAAACAAGAAACAAAAACUGACAAGUGAAAAAAUCUUACAGCUACUGAAUCUUCGGACACAGCUGGAGACACCGGUCAUUUUACCAAGGCUUUGACUGGAAUGGCAUGCUUUCUGAUACAAGCAGACUCCUUUCAGGAAUCAAACUUGACUUAUAGAGCCAAUAAAAGCCCCUUGGGAAAACUGGUUUUAUACCUUGUAUACGCAGUGCCUGUACAGGGUUCCUGACUUGUGGCAAGUAAAGAAUGUCACUUUCUGACAGGCCCAGUAGCUCCAAGUUAUCUUGGGACCUUAAAGGAGUGAAAUUUACCCAACUCAUGGAGGUAUUUGGUGGUACAAACCCGUGGCUCAAGGCUUUAAAAAGAUUCCUUAUGAAAUAAAUUUCCAUCAAAGCCAAUUAAAAAAAAAGAGCCUAUGUGGCAAAUAAUUAUUCUUGCUGUGCUUUAUGCAAAUAAUCAGGCCAAGUAUAAUCAAAGAAAUUGGACCCAUUAUGAUUUGUUUUUAAUAAAAAUGGGAAACUGGGGAGAGAAAAAAUAUGUUUCCACAAUUAUGGUACACCUGUUAUUAAAUUCUCAUUUCAUCAGUUGUUUUUGAGUUUUUUUUUCUGCAAUUUAGACUGACCCUGCUUAUUCCUGUGAACCAACCAGUGAUCUCUGACUCCAGGCCAGAAGAAACAAGAGGGGGCCAGGUGCCCAUAAUCCAGCACCUUGGGAGGCCAGUGCAGGCAAAUCAUGAGGUCAGGAGUUUGAGAUCAGUCUGGCCAACAUAGAGAAACCCUAUCUCUAUGGAAAAUACAAAAAUUAGCCAGGAGUGGUGGCACAUACCUGUAGUCCCAGCUACUCGGAAGGCUGAGGCAGGAGAAGUGCUUGAACCUGGAGGUGGAAUGGUGGAAUUUGCAGUGAGCCGAGAUUGUGCCAUUGCAUUC
This is a long non-coding RNA of Callithrix jacchus (white-tufted-ear marmoset), 1838 nucleotides long. The record is from Ensembl. Lineage: Eukaryota; Metazoa; Chordata; Mammalia; Primates; Cebidae.